Molecule: long non-coding RNA, 374 nt
Organism: Cyprinodon tularosa
Lineage: Eukaryota; Metazoa; Chordata; Actinopteri; Cyprinodontiformes; Cyprinodontidae
Exons: 3
Source: RefSeq, a predicted model, not a curated record
GGCUCGCUGACAGAAGUGAGGCUGCUGUACACUGAUGCCACCAGGCGCUCUGAUCAGUAGCAAUGCAGGUGAAGUGUCUUGCCCAAGGGCACAACGACACUGAAAGUUGGAACCAGUCGUGCUGAAGGCAAAAGUUCUGGUCUGAGGCUAAAAAUCAAAUGUUCACGAUCAUCAGAUACAGUUUGUGAAGCUCUGGAAGGAUAUUUCUGUGCUGAUGUUAUUGAAGGAAGCUGUGCUGCUGCAGAAAAGCACAGCAGCUGUAAACCUGGACAAUAUAUUAGCAAGAAAGGAACGUCGCUGUCAGACACUGAAUGCUCUGAAUGCAGCAGAGGAACAUUUUCUAAUGGAUCAUUAACACUGUCAGCCACACACAC